ACGGAAACGGCAGCAGCAACUAGGAAACUUGAAAUACUGCAAAUAAUUGGCUGAAUACUCACAAGUAUUUAUUCUGAUUUCAUUAAGAAACAGGAUAGGAGGGGGGGGAAAGAGGUGAAUUGAAUCUUGCUUCCAGAUUACUCAUUAGAAAGAGGGUACAACUAGCACACAAGACAGCACCAGCCCAGGUUUCAUCGCAGUUUGGACUAAUGCAAAGCCACUUACACCCACUCUUCAAUAUUCAGUGCAUUAAGAGUGUGUGUAUGCAGAGAGAGAGAGAGAGCUCUGCGCUAAUUCAUUAACCUUUUCAAUGAGGGUAAUAUAAUGGACGGGCUAUGAACACUCAUUCCAGGAAUGUGUCAUCCAUGUUGCCUCUCCUAGUCUAAGCUGACCUCUGUUACAAUAAAGCAUAAUGUCAAAACUAUGGGCAAACAGAUCACGCCUGCUGGCAUUUGAUCAUAAAAUUGCGAACGGAAUCAUUUUUCUUGAGAAGACCAAGUAUGGAAAUGAGGAUAGUAAUCUCCUGAAGAGCAACAGCAGCUUCUUGGAUUGAAUGACAAAUAACUAUUCUCUAGGCAAAUGAACAUGUACAAAAUGGGUCCUGCAUGAGAUCAUGAUAACAAGUAGGAUUGUCAAACAUACACAAAUUCCUGUGGGAAAAGAGAGAAGAGGACCAGUUAAACAGCAGAAAAUUGCAGAUCUAAGAGGCAAAAAUUUACCAUUUAUUGCAAUCCUUAAAGAACACCUAAAUUCAACCAGUUUUACACCAAUGCAAUUACCAAGAGGCAUUCCCCUGGCCGAUCAAAAAACAAA
This is a long non-coding RNA of Rhododendron vialii, 813 nucleotides long. RefSeq lists it as uncharacterized. The transcript is spliced from 2 exons. Lineage: Eukaryota; Viridiplantae; Streptophyta; Magnoliopsida; Ericales; Ericaceae. The record is from RefSeq and is a predicted model, not a curated record.